Molecule: small nuclear RNA, 137 nt
Organism: Alosa sapidissima (American shad)
Lineage: Eukaryota; Metazoa; Chordata; Actinopteri; Clupeiformes; Clupeidae
Product: U4 spliceosomal RNA
Exons: 1
Source: RefSeq, a predicted model, not a curated record
GGCUUUGCGCAGUGGCAGUAUCGUGGCCUAUGAGGGUUAUCCGAGGCGCGAUUAUUGCUAGUUGAAAACUAUCUAUCUAUCUAUCUAUCUAUCUAUCGACCGAUCGUGUCUGUCUAUGUCUUUGCUAGUUUGAGACA